GACGAACGCUGGCGGCGUGCUUAACACAUGCAAGUCGAACGGAAAGGCCCCUUUGGGGGUACUCGAGUGGCGAACGGGUGAGUAACACGUGAGUAACCUGCCCUUGACUUCGGGAUAACUUCAGGAAACUGGGGCUAAUACCGGAUAGGAAUCCUUGCUGCAUGGUGGGGGUUGGAAAGCUUCGGCGGUUUUGGAUGGACUCGCGGCUUAUCAGCUUGUUGGUGGGGUAGUGGCUUACCAAGGCUUUGACGGGUAGCCGGCCUGAGAGGGCGACCGGCCACAUUGGGACUGAGAUACGGCCCAGACUCCGACGGGAGGCAGCAGUGGGGAAGAUUGCACAAUGGGCGGAAGCCUGAUGCAGCAACGCCGCGGGCGGGAUGACGGCCUUCGGGUUGUAAACCGCGUUCAGCAGGGGCGAAGCUUGUGGUGACGGUACCUGCAGAAGAAGCACCGGCUAACUACGUG
This 465-nucleotide ribosomal RNA is filed under the name uncultured bacterium. RNAcentral describes it as "partial 16S ribosomal RNA". It matches the Rfam family "Bacterial small subunit ribosomal RNA", at positions 28 to 507 of the family's 1533-position model. The record is from RNAcentral.